RNAcentral lists this transfer RNA (66 nucleotides) under Gazza minuta (toothpony). RNAcentral describes it as "tRNA-Cys". The record is from RNAcentral. Lineage: Eukaryota; Metazoa; Chordata; Actinopteri; Chaetodontiformes; Leiognathidae.
AGCCUUGUGGUGUUAAGCAUAUGAGAUUGCAAAUCUUAAGGGGCAAUUUAGUAUUUGCCGGGGCUU